CCUAGGCGCAACUUUUUGGUUGGUGCCACCCCGCCCAGGCCCUUUUUAAACUUGUUUUCCGCGGUUCCCUUCCUUUUCGACCGCGGCGCGUGACUGGGUAAGUGGGCUCCGACUUGCCGGACGCGGGAGCCGGCCAAGCGGCUCCAGGGCUCCCCCUUGCCCUUCUAGGCGCGCCCCUCGCGGCCCCCUUGCCCACCCCGGCCUCGGCUCAGCGCCGCGGGGAAGCCUCCGUUAGGGCUCCUCGGGGGUGGGGGGCGUCCUCGUGGCAGCUGGACCCUUCGUCCCGGGUUAGGACUGCCGGUGUCCUCGUGCGCUUGAAGGGGCAGCCCCCCUUCCUCGAGGAUCCCACCCCCACCCAGCAGAAGCUGCCAGGCGCCCGUCAGCGCCCGCCCCUGAGCCCCUGCGGUCAACGGAUCCGGCCUACAGGCAGCUUUUAGUCCCUUUUCAAUUAAAGAAAUGAUUGCAUUUUGAGGAUCAAAUUCCGACUGCGGGCGGAGGCGCCGAGCCCUGGACGGUCUCCGGGUUCUUGGCGCACCCGGGGUUCCAGCCUGACCGCGCGGGCUGACGUUGCCUAUUUAGGAAGUGAGAUCUGAGGUCUGAAGCGCUUUAAGAUUCCAAGCGGGGCAGUAUAAUAGUGGGGUCACCAAUCUCACGGAGGUCACUUCACUCGCGCAGCCACCAGCACCCGCCACCAGUGCCGUUCAUUUGCUACUGGCCCGCAGUCGGAUAAUUUAAAAGGCCCAGAGGGACGAGUCUUGCUGGAGCCCAGGCCAGCAGUGAGUUGAGCAGAGCCCUGUGAGCCCUAAUAAAGGAGCCUGCGGUUCCUCCUCAAGAUCUGCUUUUUCAGAGUGGCCAGAGCGUUGUACAACACAGGGCCAGCUUCCAACAUUUUCAGGGUGUGGUGGAGUUUCAAGAUGGCUGAUGAACUUAAGGUCUGGUGCUUGAAAGAAUCAGUGAAACUUUUCAAGUAGAUGAGAUGUAUUUGGAUAUGUUACCUUUAGUAUCUACAGAAUAGAGGUUGCUUUUUUUGGUUGUUCUUUUCAUAGUGGUAGCAAGGGUGAAUUUUGAGAUGGCCCCAACCUAUAAGUUUUGUGUCUCUGCCUUAUAGUUGAGUUCAUCCUGUAGAAAAUUUUUAUGGAAUUCAAUUUCAUUAUUUAAAGUAGUUUUUCUAUGAACCAGCUGUGGUCUGUAACUUGACAGUGUUAAUACCAAAGAGCAAUACAUUAAUCAUGUUCAUAUACUCAACAAAGAUGUGAUUUAACUCUUCUUAAGAUUGUUAUUUUACAAUAUAGUCUUUUUUUCUUUUUUCCUUUUGUAGUUUAUGAGAUCUGAGUCUUUUUUUUUUUAAGGCUCCACUCUUGUUUCCCAGGCUGAAAUACAGUGGUGUGAUCUCAGCUUAC
This is a long non-coding RNA of Cebus imitator (Panamanian white-faced capuchin), 1400 nucleotides long. RefSeq lists it as uncharacterized. Lineage: Eukaryota; Metazoa; Chordata; Mammalia; Primates; Cebidae. The record is from RefSeq and is a predicted model, not a curated record. The transcript is spliced from 3 exons.